AGCUGCCUUCCAAUGUGCUUGUAAAUAUUAGGUUGGUGCAAAAGUAAUUGUGGUUUUUGCCAUUAAAAGUACGGGCAAAACCGCAAUUGCUUUUGCACCAGCCUA
This 105-nucleotide microRNA precursor is filed under the name Chlorocebus sabaeus (green monkey). RNAcentral describes it as "miRNA (ENSCSAG00000025526.1)". Lineage: Eukaryota; Metazoa; Chordata; Mammalia; Primates; Cercopithecidae. The record is from RNAcentral.